This 30-nucleotide non-coding RNA is filed under the name Rattus norvegicus (Norway rat). Lineage: Eukaryota; Metazoa; Chordata; Mammalia; Rodentia; Muridae. The record is from RNAcentral.
UACUCUAACUAAAGCUGCGUACCCUUCACU